RNAcentral lists this long non-coding RNA (853 nucleotides) under Mizuhopecten yessoensis (Yesso scallop). RNAcentral's name for it is "uncharacterized LOC110456649, transcript variant X1". Lineage: Eukaryota; Metazoa; Mollusca; Bivalvia; Pectinida; Pectinidae. The record is from RNAcentral.
CCUGUGUAACAGGAGCGCGACGGGCCCAGUUUGUUGAAGAGAAACUACACCCGGCUCCUUACACCGACCACUACCCAGGUAUUGCAGGUUUUUAUUUGUCGACGUGUCAGUGGAUAAACGAAAGAUCACAAAAUCCUGGAGUUCGGGUUGAUGACCAUCCCAAGACCCAGGGCUAAACAUGUUAUCUAUGGUGCGGCGAUUCCUGUCCACGGGACCAGUUGCAGCACGGACGGUUCAUUUUACAAGCAUUGUUCGUCUGGCUAUCACUGUUGUGGAAGACGGUACAGCAGGUACUGUUGUAUAGACGAUGGCUUCUACUACGGGAGCAUGGAUGGCGGCACCGUCGCAGGUACGGUGGUCGGGUGUAUAGUGGGUAUGGGCUUGUUCAUAGCCAUGGUCGUAUGUCUGUGUGCUGCAUGUAACAAGAGUGGAACAAGAGGUGCACGGAUUACAACUCGGCACAACCCACGGUGGCUAUAGUGAAUACAAGCAACAUGGAAGGGUACAUGUCGUCUAGCUUCCAAACCAACUCAGGAGCAGCAUAUCCCCAACAAGGAUCUGCCCAAACUUCGACUACCUUGGCGUUCUCUGGUCAAUUUGUACAGCCUCCACCUUAUUCUGUCAAAUAGAGGUACAACUGUACAUGAAACAGGAUAGCGCUGAAACGUCAAUGUGUGAUAUACAAACAGAACUAUUAUUUAUAUUUUAGAAGAUAAUUUUCCAUUCUGUGAUUUAAUGCACAGGCAUAUCCUAACUGAUCAAAUGUUUUCAGCUGUUCUGUCUCUGCGUUUUCAGUGAAACAGUAAUGUGUCAUUACAACGUCUUUGUAUAGCAUUACUAUUAAAGUGUUAUU